AUUGAACGAUAGCGGGAUGCUUUACACAUGCAAGUCGAACGAGUGGCGGAAGGGUGAGUAAUAUAUCGGAACGUGCCCAGUAGCGGGGGAUAACUACUCGAAAGAGUGGCUACUACCGCAUACGAUUGGAGCGGACGAUAUCGGAUUAGCUAGUUGUGGGGGUAAAGGCUGACCAAGGCAACGAUCCGUAGGUGGUUUGAGAGGACGACCAGCCACACUGGAACUGAGACACGGGCCAGACCCCUACGGGAGGCAGCAGUGGGGAAUUUUGGACAAUGGGCGAAAGCCUGAUCCAGCCAUCCCGCGUGUAUGAGAAGGCCUUCGGGUUGUAAAGUACUUUUGGCAGAGAAGCGGUAUCUGCAGAAUAAGCACCGGCUAACUACGUGCCAGCAGCCGCGGUAAUAC
This 405-nucleotide ribosomal RNA is filed under the name uncultured bacterium. RNAcentral describes it as "partial 16S ribosomal RNA". It matches the Rfam family "Bacterial small subunit ribosomal RNA", at positions 30 to 526 of the family's 1533-position model. The record is from RNAcentral.